RNAcentral lists this unclassified non-coding RNA (391 nucleotides) under soil metagenome. RNAcentral describes it as "partial contains 5.8S ribosomal RNA, internal transcribed spacer 2, and large subunit ribosomal RNA". The stretch from base 5 to 121 matches the Rfam family "5.8S ribosomal RNA", at positions 40 to 154 of the family's 154-position model. The record is from RNAcentral.
GAUGAGAACGUAGCGAAAUGCGAUACUUGGUGUGAAUUGCAGAAUCCCGUGAACCAUCGAGUCUUUGAACGCAAGUUGCGCCCGAAGCCACUAGGCCGAGGGCACGCCUGCCUGGGCGUCACACGUCGUUGCCCCCCCCCAUCUACUCCUUCGGGAUUGCGGGGGGCGGAUGAUGGCCUCCCGUGCGCCUAGCCGCGCGGUUGGCAUAAAUACCAAGUCCUCGGCGACGCACGCCACGACAAUCGGUGGUUGCGAAACCUCGGUUGCCCGUCGUGUGCGUUCGUCGCGCAUCGAGGGCUCGAAAAAAUGCUCGGCUCCGGCUCGGCUUUCAACGCGACCCCAGGUCAGGCGGGGUUACCCGCUGAAUUUAAGCAUAUCAAUAAGCGGAGGA